This 266-nucleotide ribosomal RNA is filed under the name uncultured bacterium. Its description in RNAcentral is "partial 16S ribosomal RNA". It matches the Rfam family "Bacterial small subunit ribosomal RNA", at positions 793 to 1055 of the family's 1533-position model. The record is from RNAcentral.
GUCCACGCUGUAAACGAUGGGCACUAGGUGUUCGGGGUAUUGACCCCCUGAGUGCCGCAGCUAACGCAUUAAGUGCCCCGCCUGGGGACUACGGCCGCAAGGUUAAAACUCAAAGGAAUUGACGGGGGCCCGCACAAGCGGUGGAGCAUGUGGUUCAAUUCGACGCAACGCGAAGAACCUUACCUGGGCUAGACAACAUCGGACCGCCCCCGAAAAUGGGGUCUUCCCGCAAGGGACCGGUGGUUCAGGUGCUGCAUGGCUGUCGU